GCUGGGUGUGGUGGCUCAUGCCUGUAAUCCUAGCACUUUGGGAGGCUGAGGCAGGUGGAUCACCUGAGGUCAGGAGUUCAAGACCUGCCUGGCCAACAUGGUGAAACCUUGUCUCUA
Molecule: non-coding RNA, 117 nt
Organism: Pan troglodytes (chimpanzee)
Lineage: Eukaryota; Metazoa; Chordata; Mammalia; Primates; Hominidae
Rfam family: Metazoan signal recognition particle RNA
About the family: The signal recognition particle (SRP) is a universally conserved ribonucleoprotein. It is involved in the co-translational targeting of proteins to membranes. The eukaryotic SRP consists of a 300-nucleotide 7S RNA and six proteins: SRPs 72, 68, 54, 19, 14, and 9.
Source: Rfam